RNAcentral lists this ribosomal RNA (253 nucleotides) under uncultured bacterium. Its description in RNAcentral is "partial 16S ribosomal RNA". It matches the Rfam family "Bacterial small subunit ribosomal RNA", at positions 524 to 776 of the family's 1533-position model. The record is from RNAcentral.
UACGGGGGGGGUAAGCGUUGUUCGGAAUUACUGGGCGUAAAGGGCUCGUAGGCGGCCAACUAAGUCAGACGUGAAAUCCCUCAGCUUAACUGGGGAACUGCGUCUGAUACUGGAUGGCUUGGAUUCGGGAGAGGAAUGCGGAAUUCCAGGUGUAGCGGUGAAAUGCGUAGAUAUCAGAAGGAACAUCAGUGGCGAAAGCGGCUUCCUGGUCCAGUACCGACGUUCAGGCACGAAAGCGUGGGGAGCAAACAGG